RNAcentral lists this ribosomal RNA (252 nucleotides) under uncultured bacterium. Its description in RNAcentral is "partial 16S ribosomal RNA". It matches the Rfam family "Bacterial small subunit ribosomal RNA", at positions 525 to 776 of the family's 1533-position model. The record is from RNAcentral.
ACGUAGGAUCCGAGCGUUAUCCGAAUUUACUGGGCGUAAAGCGCGUGUAGGCGGUCAGGUAAGUUGGACGUGAAAGCUCCUGGCUCAACUAGGAGAGGUCGUUCAAAACUGCCUGGCUAGAGGGCGACAGAGGGAGGUGGAAUUCCCGGUGUAGUGGUGAAAUGCGUAGAUAUCGGGAGGAACACCAGUGGCGAAGGCGGCCUCCUGGGUCGCACCUGACGCUCAGACGCGAAAGCUAGGGGAGCGAACGGG